RNAcentral lists this ribosomal RNA (515 nucleotides) under Orthotylinae gen. ZANCGEN4 sp. Msp081. RNAcentral describes it as "partial large subunit ribosomal RNA". It matches the Rfam family "Bacterial large subunit ribosomal RNA", at positions 1809 to 2599 of the family's 2925-position model. Lineage: Eukaryota; Metazoa; Arthropoda; Insecta; Hemiptera; Miridae. The record is from RNAcentral.
AAAAACAUGGUUUUUUGUUUAUAUAAAAAAUCUGACCUGCUCAGUGAGUUUUUAAAUAGCUGCAGUAUUUUGACUGUACAAAGGUAGCAUAAUCACUUGUCUUUUAAUUGAGGUCUGGAAUGAAUGGUUUGAUGAAAAAAAUACUUUAUUUAUUUUUUAUGGAAAACUUAAUUUUUAAGUUAAAAAGCUUCUAAAUUUUUUUAUAGGACGAGAAGACCCUAUAGAGCUUUAUUUUCUUGUUUUUAUAAUUUUUUUGGAUUAUAUUUUUUUAUAAAAUAUAGUAAAUUUUGUUGGGGUGACAAAAAAAAUUAUAUAACUUUUUUUAAUUUUUUCAUUAAUUGAUGUAUAUUUGAUCCUUUUUUUGGAGAAAAAGAAUAAGCUACCUUAGGGAUAACAGCGUUAUUGUUUCGGAGAGUUCAUAUCGAUGAAAUAGUUUGCGACCUCGAUGUUGGAUUAAAAUAAGAUAUAGAAGUAGAAUAUUAUAUUCUUGGUCUGUUCGACCUUUAAAUUUUUAC